GGGGUUGUGGCUCAGUGGUAGAGCGCUUGCCUAGCAUGUAUGAGGCACUGGGUUCAAGUCUCAGCACCACA
RNAcentral lists this transfer RNA (71 nucleotides) under Marmota monax (woodchuck). RNAcentral's name for it is "tRNA.Ala". It matches the Rfam family "tRNA". From Rfam's summary of the family: Transfer RNA (tRNA) molecules are approximately 80 nucleotides in length. Their secondary structure includes four short double-helical elements and three loops (D, anti-codon, and T loops). Further hydrogen bonds mediate the characteristic L-shaped molecular structure. tRNAs have two regions of fundamental functional importance: the anti-codon, which is responsible for specific mRNA codon recognition, and the 3' end, to which the tRNAs corresponding amino acid is attached (by aminoacyl-tRNA synthetases). tRNAs cope with the degeneracy of the genetic code in two manners: having more than one tRNA (with a specific anti-codon) for a particular amino acid; and 'wobble' base-pairing, i.e. permitting non-standard base-pairing at the 3rd anti-codon position. Lineage: Eukaryota; Metazoa; Chordata; Mammalia; Rodentia; Sciuridae. The record is from RNAcentral.